This 4453-nucleotide ribosomal RNA is filed under the name Candidatus Kaiserbacteria bacterium RIFCSPHIGHO2_02_FULL_49_11. RNAcentral's name for it is "partial 23S ribosomal RNA". The stretch from base 1 to 3656 matches the Rfam family "Bacterial large subunit ribosomal RNA", at positions 600 to 2925 of the family's 2925-position model. The record is from RNAcentral. Lineage: Bacteria; Candidatus Kaiseribacteriota.
CGUGCCUAUUGAAGAAUGAGCCAACGAGUUCAUGUAUAUUGCGCGGCUAAGCCCGUUAGGGUGGAGCCAUAGGGAAACCGAGUGUGAAUAGCGCGUCUGUAGUAUGCAUGAGACCCGAAGCAGGGUGAGCUUGCCAUGAGCAGGGUGAAGUUUGUGGAAACACAGAUGGAGGCCCGAACCGGUUAGUCGUUCAACGCUAUCGGAUGACUUGUGGUAAGGAGUGAAAAGCUAAUCGAACUCUGUAAUAGCUGGUUCUCUCCGAAAUAGCUUUUGGGUUAGCGUCUUGUGUUCCUCUUGGGGGUAGAGCACUGGAAGGUGUGAAUAGGGGGAAACCUCGUCAUUCCUAUCAAACUCCGAAUACCAAGAGUUAAUAGCAAGGCAGUUAGACCGUGGGGGCUAAGCUUCACUGGUCAAAAGGGAAACAGCCCAGAUCUCAAGUUAAGGUCCCUAAAUCUAUGCUAAGUGCACUUAAGGAGGUGAGAUUUCUCCGACAAUGAGGAUGUUGGCUUAGAGGCAGCCACCAUUUAAAGAAAGCGUAACAGCUCACUCAUCUAGAGAUCUUGCGCCGAAGAUAAUCGGGGCUAAGCAUAGUACCGAAACUGAGGGCUUGUGAGUUUCAUAGAGGAAAAUUAAAACAAGCGGCGACUUCGACUGACGGCCUAAAAAGCCAGCACAGUCUGUAAGGGUGACAUCUCACCUGAAUGGGCCGCUUGGAGAGCGCGCAUAGUACGCCGGGAUCAGCAUGCCCGGUCAAAGUGCGCUCUACUGGGCGGACGGCGCUCUGCCGCAGGAUCUGAUCUUGCGGCAAGGUUUAGUGCCGUCCGCCAUGUACAAAGGAAUUUCCGGUCCGUGCGACGGGGAAUCACCUUGAAAUUUUUUGUGGUUGGAGAAUCACGUGGUUAGGACAGCCGGUACGACUCGCAAGGUCCCCGGAACCUACAGGCAGGCACAUAUAACCAUACAAAGGAAGAAUCCUAGGAACCUUCCAGGUGGCAAGCUGCACCACGGUGCCGUAUCCGAUGCAAGGACGGCUUCCCGAAAAAGGAAAUUAUUCCAAUCACAUCACUAUUCCGAACGCAAUAAUUAAAAAAUUUGUGUUCGGUCUUCUAUGAAACUCAUAAGCGGUAGGAGAGCGUUCCGUUCGCGAUGAAGCCAAAGGGGUGACCCAUGGUGGAGCAUACGGAAGUGAGAAUGUUGGCACAAGUAACCGCAAUGCGGGUGAGAGUCCCGCACGCCGAAAGACUAAGGUUUCCUUCGCGAUGAAGAUCAGCGAAGGGUUAGUCGGGCCUAAGCCGAUCCCGAAAGGGGGAGGCGAUGGACACAUGGUUAAUAUUCCAUGACUUUAUUGAAGUGCGAUGGGGAGACGGAGCGUAGUAUUCUGGGCGCAUUAUUGGAUUUGCGUCCGUGCUCUAAGGGUGUUUGUUAGGGAAAUCCGGCAAGCAUAAGCCCAAGGAGAGCGGAGACGUCAUGGUACGCCAUGAUUCAUCCAGGAAAGCACGCUUCCAAGAAAAUCCUCUAAGCUUCAACUUCAAUGAAACCGUACCGAAAACCGACACAGGUGGUCAGGUCGAGUAGACCAAGGCGAACGAGUGAUUCUUCCUCAAGGAAUUCGGCAAAGAAGCGACCGUAACUUCGGAAUAAGGUCUGCCUCUGCACCACUUUGUCCUCAACUCACGUCAUGAAAUGAAAAGAGGAGAUGACCAAGUGGCAAAAGAUACUACGGAAAUUAGUAUCGAUCUGCUGAAUGAGUCAAUAAAGUACAUAACUCCAACGUGCGAUACCAUGAACGGCAACGUCAUGUAUGCGUGCAUCACAUUUGAAAAUGGAACCCGCGGACACAUCACUUUUGAGCAGUUUGAAAGACUUGCUCGCGAGGGGUUGGUGUCUUCGGGCAAUCUCAGACAUUUUGAGGUUGCCAAGGGGUUCUGGGGAGGCGUGAUGGAUGCAAUCGCAGUUGGAGGAGUAUUGACCGUUUAGUGAAUUAGAACUUUAAGCACUCAAACGUAGAAGUUGAGGCUAAAGUGGUGUAGAGGCCGCAGCGAAAGAUCCCUGGCGACUGUUUACCAAAAACACAGCUCCCUGCGAACUCGUAAGAGGAUGUAUAGGGGGUGACGCCUGACCAAUGCCAGAAGGUUAACCACGGGGGGUCGUGUGCUUCGCACACAAGUCGUAAGAACGCUUCGCUUAAGGAAUAAGUGAUAAGGACAAGACUUUUCACUUACCCCUUAGAGCGAAUGAAAUGAGCGUACUUAUAGCUUGCGCGCGGAGCGCUCGGCUGGACUGUGUAAGCCCUGGUGAAUGUCGGCCGUAACUAUAAAACGUUGUAGUUACGUUAAAAAAUUCUGCUAUAUGCGGGAAACUCUGACCGAGGUGGAGUCUUAGGAUAAACCUCAAAGUAUCCAGCACUACUCGCCACACAGUCGAAAUGGCAGUAACAAUGUGUCUGGUGCAGACAAUCCGCAGGAAAGAUUAUUGUGUGGUAAUUGUGAAAUAUGCACGAUUACAAAAAGAUUAACCAAAACCACGGACACUACAUAGCCGGUUUUGUUGACGGAGAGGGAAGCUUCAAUGUCUCUCUCAAGAAGCGAACAGAUUUUGUAGGGGAGUGGAAGGUUACCGCAUCAUUCAAUGUGUCACAGAAAGACCGUGUCAUACUCGCUUUUAUUAAAAAAGUGAUUGGGUGCGGGACUCUGCGAACACGAAGAGAUGGUAUCGUGUACUAUGAAGUCACGAACAUUACCUCGUUGUAUGAAAAUGUACUGCCGUUUUUUAGGCGGUUCAAUUUUCUCUCGGCAAACAAGAAGCGCAACUUCACUAUUUUUUCAAAGAUAGUGAAGAAGAUGUACUACAAGGAACACCUGACGAAAGGAGGGUUUAAUGAAAUCCUUGUAUUACGUGAACAGCUCAAUUGGGGCGCCGGACGCAAGAGAAAGUACAACUUGCAAGACGCAUACACACAAUAAAAUCCUCACAGACUAUACGCAGAACGCACUGUGCACAAAACGUGCAGCACAGCAUUGCGAAGAUAUAGUCGAGUCCUUAUAGCGAUAUAAGGUUGACAAGAAACUGUAAUUGCUUGUCAUAGAAAAUAUACAGAACGGUCCUAAGGUAGCGAAAUUCCUAGUCUGGUAAUUUCAGACGUGCACGAAUGGCGUAACGACUGGGGAACUGUCUCGAGGAAGAGCUCGGUGAAAAUACAAUGCCGGUGAAGAUGCCGGCUACCUGCAGUUAGACGAAAAGACCCCGGGAGCUUUACUAUAGCUUGAUAUUGGGGAUGUGAAUUAAUUGCGUAGCAUAGGUGGGAGACUUUGAAGCCGAGCUUUUGGGCACGGUGGAGUCGCCAGUGAAAUACCACUCUAUUACUUUGCAUUCUCUAACCUGUGCGGAAAAAACGCACCGGAACAGUAUCUGGUGGGUAGUUUGUUUGGGGCGAAUCCCUCCUAAAAAGUAACGGAGGGGUCUAUUAAGGUCCUCUAGGCGCGAAUGGAAACCGUGCCGAUAGUGUAAUGGCACAAGAGGGCUUGACUGCAAGACGUACAUGUCGAGCAGGUGCGAAAGCAGAGCAUAGUGAUCCGAUGGUUCGCGUUAGAUGCGGCCAGAGCUCAACGGAUAGAAGUUACCCCGGGGAUAACAGGCUGGUACCGCCCAAGAGUCCAUAUCGACGGCGGUGUUCGGCACCUCGAUGUCGGCUCACCUUAUCCUGGAGGUGGAGAAGCUUCCAAGGGUUUGACUGUUCGUCAAUUAAAAAGGUACGCGAGCUGGGUUCAAACCGUCGAGCAACGAAGUUGCUCGACAAGUAGAAAGUGUAAAGUCGAAAGUCAGAAGCAAUCACUUCGUGAUUCGACUGUUUGAAUCCCAUUGAGAGAAUCGCAAGUCUUUUCGUCACACUAAGUCCCGAUGUAAAAAUCGGGAUCCCGACCAAAGCGUCGGGAAUAGAACCAAUCGCAUCACGGCGGUCCUCUUUAGCAAUAGAGAGUGAUCAAGCUGACUGAUAUCGGUAAAAUCUUUGAUUUUAUCCUGAGCUUGUCGAAGGAUGGAGUUCAGAGACAAUACCGAGGGAACCAAGCACCAUCCUGGUGCUCGGACCCGUAGAGACUGAACGUCAGCAGCCAAGCACCAUUUUGGUGCUCGGUGAAGCUACAGUCCAAUGCGCACAGUAAUGUGCGGGAACAUGCGUGAGACAGGUUGGUCUCCUAUCUACUGCAGGCGUUGAUUUUUGAGAGGAUUUGUUUUUAGUACGAGAGGACCAAAAUGAACUGACCUCUGGUGUGUGGGCUGUUCCGCCAGGAGCAGCGCCCAGUAGCUAUGUCGGGAACGGAUAACCGCUGAAAGCAUCUAAGCGGGAAGCCAACCUCAAGAUCAGAAAUCGUUAUGAGACCCCUAGGAGAUGACUAGGUGAUAGGCUUUAGGUGUACGCACAGUAAUGUGUUGAGCCGAGAAGUACUAAUGUCGU